GGCGGUAUUUUAGUCUAUUCAGAGGAAUCUGUCCUAUAAUUGAUAAUCCACGAUUUAAUUUACUUUUAGAAAAAAUUUAUAUAUCGUCGUAGCUUGAAUAUUUUAAAAGAAUUUUAAUGUUCAAAAUUUUUUUAUAAAAUUAAAUCAGAUCAAGGUGUAGUUUAUAUAAAAGAAGAGAUGGAUUACAUUAAAUUUAUUUAAAGAUUAAUUUUURUAAAAUUUUAUGAAUAUGGAUUUGAUAGUAAUUUUUUUAAAAUUUUAAAAAUGAUUUAAGCUCUAAAAUAU
Molecule: ribosomal RNA, 285 nt
Filed under: Desmocerus californicus californicus
Lineage: Eukaryota; Metazoa; Arthropoda; Insecta; Coleoptera; Cerambycidae
Description: partial small subunit ribosomal RNA
Source: RNAcentral